This 292-nucleotide ribosomal RNA is filed under the name uncultured bacterium. RNAcentral describes it as "partial 16S ribosomal RNA". It matches the Rfam family "Bacterial small subunit ribosomal RNA", at positions 505 to 796 of the family's 1533-position model. The record is from RNAcentral.
GUGUCAGCAGCCGCGGUAAUACGAGGGGGGCAAGCGUUGUUCGGAAUUAUUGGGCGUAAAGGGAGCGUAGGCGGUUUUGUAAGUCGUGUGUGAAAUCUUCGGGCUCAACCCGAAGUCUGCACACGAAACUGCAGGGCUUGAGUAUGGGAGAGGUGAGUGGAAUUCCUGGUGUAGCGGUGAAAUGCGUAGAUAUCAGGAGGAACACCUGUGGCGAAAGCGGCUCACUGGACCAUUACUGACGCUGAGGCUCGAAAGCUAGGGGAGCAAACAGGAUUAGAUACCCUGGUAGUCC